GGGGGUGACAGGCUUCGACAGGGAUUGCGGGUGCAAGAAUAGCAUACCGGUGAUAUUACCUAUCCCGUAAAUAUGGUAAUGCUAAAUUGAAUUGCAGAUGAAAAUCUCGCAUUAGCUGCCUAAAAAACAGCUACAUUUGACUUGAUGUUGCCAUUUGCAUCUCUUCAAAUGUCGUUCAAAAUGGCUCUAAUAUUGUGAUGUCUAUAAGCAGUAUUGAAAUUUAUAGACUGGUUCUGUACAGGUUUGUCUGUUGUUCUGUACUGAAUAAGAAAAUGCAACUGACUAUGUAUGUAGAAGUUCUUGUAUCCAAAUCUCUGGACGCGGGUUCAACUCCCGCCACCUCCACCA
RNAcentral lists this transfer-messenger RNA (348 nucleotides) under Candidatus Cloacimonadota bacterium. It matches the Rfam family "transfer-messenger RNA". Rfam says of the family: Bacterial tmRNA, also known as 10Sa RNA or SsrA, is named for its dual tRNA and mRNA-like properties. Its role is to liberate the mRNA from a stalled ribosome. The record is from RNAcentral. Lineage: Bacteria; Pseudomonadati; Candidatus Cloacimonadota.